This 206-nucleotide long non-coding RNA is filed under the name Trifolium pratense (red clover). RNAcentral's name for it is "long non-coding RNA (TPRA_LNC005225)". Lineage: Eukaryota; Viridiplantae; Streptophyta; Magnoliopsida; Fabales; Fabaceae. The record is from RNAcentral.
UCUAAUUUCAAAGAUGCGCAGAUUUUACUUUGUUCCUUUACUUUUUUGCAGUUGGCUCUAGCUGACUACAUGCUAUGCACGACCUUUCCCUAUUUGGAUGCGUAAAAUUCUUCUAGUCCUUCCCUUGUUGGUUGCUUUUUUGACAAUUAACUUGCUCAUCAAAGAUAUAUUCUGGAUUUUAAGUAGUUAAAUUAGAGUGAAUCAUC